CGGGAUUUAGCUCAGUUUGGUAGAGUUCAUCGUUUGGGACGAUGAUGUCGUAGGUUCAAAUCCUACAAUCCCGA
This 74-nucleotide transfer RNA is filed under the name Vibrio phage 1.169.O._10N.261.52.B1. RNAcentral describes it as "tRNA-Pro". It matches the Rfam family "tRNA". Rfam says of the family: Transfer RNA (tRNA) molecules are approximately 80 nucleotides in length. RNAcentral also lists the same sequence under 1 other name. The record is from RNAcentral. Lineage: Duplodnaviria; Heunggongvirae; Uroviricota; Caudoviricetes; Schitoviridae.